ACACCUCAACUCCUCAUGGUCUUCUAUGAUGAGCUUGGACUUUGGGGGCUUGCUGGCCCAUUUGGUCAGCUCCUCUCAAAUGAAUCAGCCUACCAGUGUUUGGUGGCACCACAGGUGUGAUAACAAUCUACGCUUGAGGUUUUCCACCAGGCAACCUUCAGUAAUUGGGGUUCACUGGGGCUCACAAAUGUCUUUCUUCAGUGAGGACAGCUCUUUGAAU
Molecule: unclassified non-coding RNA, 220 nt
Filed under: uncultured Tomentella
Lineage: Eukaryota; Fungi; Basidiomycota; Agaricomycetes; Thelephorales; Thelephoraceae
Description: sequence contains ITS2
Source: RNAcentral